GACGAACGCUGGCGGCGUGCUUAACACAUGCAAGUCGAACGGUGAAGCUCCAGCUUGCUGGAGUGGCUCAGUGGCGAACGGGGGAGUAACACGUGAGCAACCUGCCCCUGACUCUGGAAUAAGCGCUGGAAACGGCGUCUAAUACUGGAUACGAGAAGGGCCCGCAUGGGCACUUUCUGGAAAGUUGUUCGGUUGGGGAUGGGCUCGCGGCCUAUCAGCUUGUUGGUGAGGUAAUGGCUCACCAAGGCGACGACGGGUAACCGGCAUGAGAGGGCGACCGGGCACAAGGGGACUGCGACACGGCGCAGUCUCCUACAGUAGGCAGCAGUGGGGAAUAUUGCACAAUGGGCGCAAGUCUGAGGCAGCGACGCCGCGUGUGUGAUGACGGCCUUCGGGGUGUAAACCUCUUUCAGCAGGGAAGAAGCUAUAGUGACGGUACCUGCAGAAGAAGCACCGGCUAACUACGUG
This 468-nucleotide ribosomal RNA is filed under the name uncultured bacterium. RNAcentral's name for it is "partial 16S ribosomal RNA". It matches the Rfam family "Bacterial small subunit ribosomal RNA", at positions 28 to 507 of the family's 1533-position model. The record is from RNAcentral.